Poecilia reticulata (guppy) is the source of this 380-nucleotide non-coding RNA. The record is from RefSeq and is a predicted model, not a curated record. Lineage: Eukaryota; Metazoa; Chordata; Actinopteri; Cyprinodontiformes; Poeciliidae.
UUGCCGUUGAGACAUAUGAGUCGGUAGUUUAAUCUCUAACGCAGCAAGUCUUCCUGGUUACCUGGAUGUAGAUGAUGUCACUGASUUAAACAAAGGACAAUGGGAGGAGACAGGGCUAUAAAAGGUGUUGCUCUGCGACACUCCUGUCAAACCUGCACUCCUGUCAAACCUGCAUCUAGUAGCUCCGUUGGUUACUGUGCGUACUGCAAGUCACCUGCCACACCUACUUAAGCAAUCAUGGUGAAGCGUGUUGCAGUUAUUCUGUCYGGCUGUGGCGUCUAUGACGGCACAGAGAUCCACGAGGCCUCGGCCGUCCUGGUCCAUCUGAGUCGCGCUGGCGCAAAAGUGAAGAUGUUUGCCCCAGACGGAGAUCAGAUGCA